UACGUAGGGGGCAAGCGUUGUCCGGAAUCAUUGGGCGUAAAGAGCGUGUAGGCGGCCUGGUAAGUCCGCUGUGAAAGUCCAGGGCUCAACCCUGGAAUGCCGGUGGAAACUGUCAGGCUCGAGUCCGGAAGAGGCGAGUGGAAUUCCUGGUGUAGCGGUGAAAUGCGCAGAUAUCAGGAGGAACACCAAUGGCGAAGGCGGCUCUCUGGGACGGUACUGACGCUGAGACGCGAAAGCGUGGGGAGCGAACAGG
RNAcentral lists this ribosomal RNA (253 nucleotides) under uncultured bacterium. Its description in RNAcentral is "partial 16S ribosomal RNA". It matches the Rfam family "Bacterial small subunit ribosomal RNA", at positions 524 to 776 of the family's 1533-position model. The record is from RNAcentral.